CAGUCGCCGCGGUAACACGAAGGGUGCAAGCGUUACUCGGAAUUACUGGGCGUAAAGCGUGCGUAGGUGGUGGUUUAAGUCCGUUGUGAAAGCCCUGGGCUCAACCUGGGAAUUGCAGUGGAUACUGGGUCACUAGAGUGUGGUAGAGGAUAGUGGAAUUUCCGGUGUAGCAGUGAAAUGCGUAGAGAUCGGGAGGAACAUCAGUGGCGAAGGCGGCCAUCUGGGACAACACUGACGCUGAGGCACGAAAGCGUGGGGAGCAAACAGGAUUAGAUACCCGCGUAGUCCCUGUCUCUUAUAC
Molecule: ribosomal RNA, 301 nt
Filed under: uncultured bacterium
Lineage: Bacteria
Description: partial 16S ribosomal RNA
Rfam family: Bacterial small subunit ribosomal RNA
Source: RNAcentral